Molecule: microRNA precursor, 217 nt
Filed under: Paramuricea clavata
Lineage: Eukaryota; Metazoa; Cnidaria; Anthozoa; Malacalcyonacea; Plexauridae
Source: RNAcentral
GUUAACAACUUGUAACAAGCUUGAUGGCAUAUCAGACUUGUUACAAGGUUGUUCUAACUAGUCUAACACAGUCAUGACGUAACAAGAAUGCUACAAAGUUGAUAACACAAGGUUGUAACAAUAUUAUUAUAGCAUGCCCGUUAUAUCAUACCCGACUUGUUGGAACAACCUUGCAACAAGUCUGAUAAUAUCAACAAGGUUGUUGCAAGUUGUUAGC